GGUGUGCAAGUACAUUGGUGGGUGCAGGAAGCAAAAAUGGCCCUGCUGAAACGUGGUUCAUUUUUAAAACCACAAACACGGUUUCUUGAAUUGGCUUUGCAUUUCCAAACCUUGUUGUGCCUUCUUCAGUGAUCAGUGGAAAAAGCAUCCAUAUUGUGCCAAAAAUGAAGCAAGAGCCUGGCUUGGAAGAUGAAGAUCGUCC
Molecule: long non-coding RNA, 202 nt
Filed under: Glycine max (soybean)
Lineage: Eukaryota; Viridiplantae; Streptophyta; Magnoliopsida; Fabales; Fabaceae
Description: long non-coding RNA (GMAX_LNC000854)
Source: RNAcentral